Molecule: ribosomal RNA, 278 nt
Filed under: uncultured Coprococcus sp.
Lineage: Bacteria; Bacillati; Bacillota; Clostridia; Lachnospirales; Lachnospiraceae
Description: partial 16S ribosomal RNA
Rfam family: Bacterial small subunit ribosomal RNA
Source: RNAcentral
GCAGCCGCGGUAAUACGGAGGAUGCGAGCGUUAUCCGGAUUUAUUGGGUUUAAAGGGUGCGUAGGCGGCCUAUCAAGUCGGUGGUGAAAUUUCGUGGCUCAACCACGUCACUGCCAUCGAAACUGAUAAGCUUGAGUGCGUUGGGGGUAGCUGGAAUGUGCGGUGUAGCGGUGAAAUGCAUAGAUAUCGCACAGAACGCCGAUCGCGAAGGCAGGUUACCACGCCGCAACUGACGCUGAGGCACGAAAGCGCGGGGAUCGAACAGGAUUAGAUACCCC